This 579-nucleotide ribosomal RNA is filed under the name uncultured bacterium. RNAcentral's name for it is "bacterial SSU rRNA". It matches the Rfam family "Bacterial small subunit ribosomal RNA", at positions 267 to 842 of the family's 1533-position model. The record is from RNAcentral.
ACCGAGGCGACGAUGCGUAGGGGUUCUGAGAGGAAGGUCCCCCACACUGGUACUGAGACACGGACCAGACUCCUACGGGAGGCAGCAGUGAGGAAUAUUGGUCAAUGGGCGCGAGCCUGAACCAGCCAAGUCGCGUGAGGGAUGACGGUCCUACGGAUUGUAAACCUCUUUUGCCGGGGAGCAAGCGUGCGUUCGUGAACGCGCGUCGAGAGUACCCGGAGAAAAAGCAUCGGCUAACUCCGUGCCAGCAGCCGCGGUAAUACGGAGGAUGCGAGCGUUAUCCGGAUUUAUUGGGUUUAAAGGGUGCGUAGGCGGGAUGCCAAGUCAGCGGUAAAAAUGCGGUGCUCAACGCCGUCGAGCCGUUGAAACUGGCGUUCUUGAGUGGGCGAGAAGUAUGCGGAAUGCGUGGUGUAGCGGUGAAAUGCAUAGAUAUCACGCAGAACUCCGAUUGCGAAGGCAGCAUACCGGCGCCCUACUGACGCUGAGGCACGGAAGCGUGGGUAUCGAACAGGAUUAGAUACCCUGGUAGUCCACGCAGUAAACGAUGAAUGCUAACUGUCCGGCUCGAAUGAGCGCUGG